Streptomyces sp. Amel2xC10 is the source of this 75-nucleotide non-coding RNA. It matches the Rfam family "ASpks TB sRNA". The record is from Rfam. NCBI's taxonomy places the organism in Bacteria, Bacillati, Actinomycetota, Actinomycetes, Kitasatosporales, Streptomycetaceae.
CUUCAACGAGCCCAGCCAGAGCGGCCGUUGCGCGUCGCGCUGGCGGCCGUAGGCGGCCAGGAUCGCCUGGGCCUC